Molecule: ribosomal RNA, 217 nt
Filed under: uncultured bacterium
Lineage: Bacteria
Description: partial 16S ribosomal RNA
Rfam family: Bacterial small subunit ribosomal RNA
Source: RNAcentral
CCCUUUUGAACGGGAUAACCCAGCGAAAGUUGGACUAAUACCGUAUGCUGCAUAUUAUUCGCAUGAUUAAUAUGUAAAAGACUGCUCUUCGGAGCAUUCACAAAGGGAUGGGCCUGCGUUCCAUUAGUUAGUUGGUGAGGUAACGGCUCACCAAGGCAGCGAUGGAUAGCUGGUUUGAGAGAGUGAUCAGCCACACUGGGACUGAGAUACGGCCCAG